RNAcentral lists this long non-coding RNA (682 nucleotides) under Numida meleagris (helmeted guineafowl). Its description in RNAcentral is "lncRNA (ENSNMEG00000020156.1)". The record is from RNAcentral. Lineage: Eukaryota; Metazoa; Chordata; Aves; Galliformes; Numididae.
GUGGUUGUGCAAAGCACAUGUUCUCUCACCUAAUAUUUUGAAUUUAAUGAUAACCUGUACAAUUCUUACAUAUAUUGAGAAUAAUGUCUUUCCUAAAGUAGAUAAAUAUAACUGCUUUCUGUGUUGCAGGUGGGCAAAAUGAGCUGCUGAAUGCUUCACUGGUUUGGGCUGAAAAGCCCAGCAGGCCACCUGCACGGAUGUGAUUUGGCUCCUCACUCCACUUGCUGCCCAUCAGCCUUGAGCCCCAUCCAACAGGCCAUGGCUGGGAGGGAGUGUGGGCAGACAGGAGAAGAGGAAGAUUUACGUAAGGGAACAACGGGACGAGUGAAGCUGCCGUCAGAGUUAUUUGUAAAUCCAGGAACAAACUGAGAAAUGUAUUGCUGUACUUCAUGGACAUCUAAAUGAAGGCCUUGUCUUCUCACGGGUCCAUGAGGUUGCAGCAGAGCCAUGAAACCACAUUUCUACACAGUACAGAUUCGCUGGAAGAUAGAGGGAGGCAAGUGACUGAAUGGAGAGCAGGGCAGCAAAGGUUAACAGCUUUCUGCUCUUGGUCUCCUGGAUCUUCUUGUCAGUGCAGUAACAGCUGGAUCUCCCAGGAAGGUAAUGAUCUUCCCGGCUGCUCUGUCUUGCUGCAGGCUAUUAGAAAAGACACGCAGCCCCUUUGCUGCCCAUUUCUUUAGCA